This 77-nucleotide transfer RNA is filed under the name Gammaproteobacteria bacterium. RNAcentral describes it as "tRNA-Pro". It matches the Rfam family "tRNA". Rfam says of the family: Transfer RNA (tRNA) molecules are approximately 80 nucleotides in length. Their secondary structure includes four short double-helical elements and three loops (D, anti-codon, and T loops). The record is from RNAcentral. RNAcentral also lists the same sequence under 4 other names. Lineage: Bacteria; Pseudomonadati; Pseudomonadota; Gammaproteobacteria.
CGGGGUGUAGCUCAGACUGGUAGAGCGCUACGUUUGGGACGUAGAUGUCGCAGGUUCGAAUCCUGUCACCCCGACCA